UGAAUACGAGACGCUAAGGCGUCGAAGUAGUGUAUGUCAUACUUCCAAGAAAAGCUUGCACUGUCAUAAGUAAAAAAUGCCUGUACCAUAACCGACACAGGUGGGUAGGUAGAGUAUACUAAGGGGCGCGAGAUAACUCUCUCUAAGGAACUCGGCAAAAUAACUCCGUAACUUCGGGAGAAGGAGUACCUUAUUCUAUAAGGUUGCAAUAACAAGAUCCAAGCAACUGUUUAUCAAAAACACAGGUCUCCGCUAAGUCGUAAGACGAUGUAUGGGGGCUGACGCCUGCCCAGUGCCAGAAGGUUAAAGAAGUCGGUUAGCAUUAGCGAAGCUGGUAACUGAAGCCCUGGUGAACGGCGGCCGUAACAAUAACGGUCCUAAGGUAGCGAAAUUCCUUGUCGGGUAAGUUCCGACCCGCACGAAAGGCGUAAUGAUUUGGAUACUGUCUCGGAGAGGGGCUCGGUGAAAUAGACUUGUCUGUGAAGAUGCGGACUACCUGCACCAGGACAGAAAGACCCUAUGAAGCUUUACUGUAACUUGAAAUUGAAAUCGGACUUUAUUCGCGCAGUAUAGGUGGGAGGUGUUGAUUAUAAUCUUGCGGGAUUAUUGGAGCCAUCAGUGAGAUACCACUCUUGUAAUGUUAGAUUUCUAACUUUGAAUCAUUAUCUGGUCAAAGGACAGUUUCAGGCGGGCAGUUUGACUGGGGCGGUCGCCUCCCAAACGGUAACGGAGGCGUACAAAGGUUUCCUCUGAACGGGUAGAAAUCGUAUCUAGAGUGUAAAGGCAUAAGGAAGCUUGACUGUGAGACCUACAAGUCGAACAGGGACGAAAGUCGGUCUUAGUGAUCUGACGGUACUGAGUGGAAAGGCCGUCACUCAACGGAUAAAAGUUACUCUAGGAUAACAGGCUGAUCUCCCCCAAGAGUUCACAUCGACGGGGAGGUUUGGCACCUCGAUGUCGGCUCAUCGCACCCUGGGGCGGUAGUACGUCCCAAGGGUUGGGCUGUUCGCCCAUGAAAGCGGUACGCGAGCUGGGUUCAGAACGUCGUGAGACAGUUCGGUCCAUAUCCGGUGUAGGCGUUAGAAUAUUGAGAGGAGCCUUCUUUAGUACGAGAGGACCGAGAAGGACAUACCUCUGGUGUACCAGUUAUCGUGCCAACGGUAAACGCUGGGUAGCUAUGUAUGGAGUGGAUAACCGCUGAAAGCAUCUAAGUGGGAAGCCCACCUCAAGAUAAGUAUUCUCAU
This 1244-nucleotide ribosomal RNA is filed under the name metagenome. RNAcentral's name for it is "bacterial LSU rRNA". It matches the Rfam family "Bacterial large subunit ribosomal RNA", at positions 1564 to 2817 of the family's 2925-position model. The record is from RNAcentral.